UACGUAGGGACCAAGCGUUGUUCGGAUUUACUGGGCGUAAAGCGCGCGUAGGCGGCUUUGCAAGUCGGGUGUGAAAUCCCCAGGCUUAACCUGGGAACUGCAUUCGAGACUGCAUUGCUAGAGUAUGGGAGAGGGAAGUGGAAUUUCCGGUGUAGCGGUGAAAUGCGUAGAUAUCGGAAGGAACACCAGUGGCGAAGGCGACUUUCUGGUCUGUAACUGACACUGAGGCGCGAAAGCGUGGGGAGCAAACAGG
This 253-nucleotide ribosomal RNA is filed under the name uncultured bacterium. Its description in RNAcentral is "partial 16S ribosomal RNA". It matches the Rfam family "Bacterial small subunit ribosomal RNA", at positions 524 to 776 of the family's 1533-position model. The record is from RNAcentral.